RNAcentral lists this ribosomal RNA (207 nucleotides) under uncultured bacterium. RNAcentral describes it as "partial 16S ribosomal RNA". It matches the Rfam family "Bacterial small subunit ribosomal RNA", at positions 1294 to 1500 of the family's 1533-position model. The record is from RNAcentral.
CGGAUUGAAGGCUGAAAUUCGCCUUCCAUGAAGCCGGAAUUGCUAGUAAUGGCAGGUCAGCAUACUGCCGUGAAUACGUUCCCGGGCCUUGUACACACCGCCCGUCACACCAUGAGAGUUGGGAAUACCCGAAGCCUGUGAGCUAACGUUAAGAGGCAGCAGUCGAAGGUAGAAUCAAUGAUUGGGGUGAAGUCGUAACAAGGUAGC